RNAcentral lists this ribosomal RNA (1361 nucleotides) under uncultured bacterium. RNAcentral's name for it is "bacterial SSU rRNA". It matches the Rfam family "Bacterial small subunit ribosomal RNA", at positions 28 to 1381 of the family's 1533-position model. The record is from RNAcentral.
AUUGAACGUUGGCGGCAGGCCUAACACAUGCAAGUCGAGCGGUAGCACAGAGAGCUUGCUCUCGGGUGACGAGCGGCGGACGGGUGAGUAAUGUCUGGGAAACUGCCUGAUGGAGGGGGAUAACUACUGGAAACGGUAGCUAAUACCGCAUAAUGUCGCAAGACCAAAGUGGGGGACCUUCGGGCCUCAUGCCAUCAGAUGUGCCCAGAUGGGAUUAGCUAGUAGGUGGGGUAACGGCUCACCUAGGCGACGAUCCCUAGCUGGUCUGAGGGGAUGACCAGCCACACUGGAACUGAGACACGGUCCAGACUCCUACGUGAGGCAGCAGUGGGGAAUAUUGCACAAUGGGCGCAAGCCUGAUGCAGCCAUGCCGCGUGUGUGAAGAAGGCCUUCGGGUUGUAAAGCACUUUCAGCGGGGAGGAAGGCGGUGAGGUUAAUAACCUCAUCGAUUGACGUUACCCGCAGAAGAAGCACCGGCUAACUCCGUGCCAGCAGCCGCGGUAAUACGGAGGGUGCAAGCGUUAAUCGGAAUUACUGGGCGUAAAGCGCACGCAGGCGGUCUGUCAAGUCGGAUGUGAAAUCCCCGGGCUCAACCUGGGAACUGCAUUCGAAACUGGCAGGCUAGAGUCUUGUAGAGGGGGGUAGAAUUCCAGGUGUAGCGGUGAAAUGCGUAGAGAUCUGGAGGAAUACCGGUGGCGAAGGCGGCCCCCUGGACAAAGACUGACGCUCAGGUGCGAAAGCGUGGGGAGCAAACAGGAUUAGAUACCCUGGUAGUCCACGCCGUAAACGAUGUCGAUUUGGAGGUUGUGCCCUUGAGGCGUGGCUUCCGGAGCUAACGCGUUAAAUCGACCGCCUGGGGAGUACGGCCGCAAGGUUAAAACUCAAAUGAAUUGACGGGGGCCCGCACAAGCGGUGGAGCAUGUGGUUUAAUUCGAUGCAACGCGAAGAACCUUACCUGGUCUUGACAUCCACAGAACUUUCCAGAGAUGGAUUGGUGCCUUCGGGAACUGUGAGACAGGUGCUGCAUGGCUGUCGUCAGCUCGUGUUGUGAAAUGUUGGGUUAAGUCCCGCAACGAGCGCAACCCUUAUCCUUUGUUGCCAGCGGUUAGGCCGGGAACUCAAAGGAGACUGCCAGUGAUAAACUGGAGGAAGGUGGGGAUGACGUCAAGUCAUCAUGGCCCUUACGACCAGGGCUACACACGUGCUACAAUGGCAUAUACAAAGAGAAGCGACCUCGCGAGAGCAAGCGGACCUCAUAAAGUAUGUCGUAGCCCGGAUUGGAGUCUGCAACUCGACUCCAUGAAGUCGGAAUCGCUAGUAAUCGUAGAUCAGAAUGCUACGGUGAAUACGUUCCCGGGCCU